UUCUUUGCUGGCGACCGGCGCACGGGUGAGUAACACGUAUCCAACCUGCCCUUUACUCGGGGAUAGCCUUUCGAAAGAAAGAUUAAUACCCGAUAGCAUAAUGAUUCCGCAUGGUUUCAUUAUUAAAGGAUUCCGGUAAAGGAUGGGGAUGCGUUCCAUUAGGUUGUUGGUGAGGUAACGGCCCACCAAGCCUUCGAUGGAUAGGGGUUCUGAGAGGAAGGUCCCCCACAUUGGAACUGAGACACGGUCCAAACUCCUACGGGAGGCAGCAGUGAGGAAUAUUGGUCAAUGGGCGUUAGCCUGAACCAGCCAAGUAGCGUGAAGGAUGAAGGCUCUAUGGGUCGUAAACUUCUUUUAUAUAAGAAUAAAGUGCAGUAUGUAUACUGUUUUGUAUGUAUUAUAUGAAUAAGGAUCGGCUAACUCCGUGCCAGCAGCCGCGGUAAUACGGAGGAUCCGAGCG
This 460-nucleotide ribosomal RNA is filed under the name Bacteroides fragilis. RNAcentral describes it as "bacterial SSU rRNA". It matches the Rfam family "Bacterial small subunit ribosomal RNA", at positions 81 to 540 of the family's 1533-position model. Lineage: Bacteria; Pseudomonadati; Bacteroidota; Bacteroidia; Bacteroidales; Bacteroidaceae. The record is from RNAcentral.